AACUGCAUCCAAAACUAACUCACUAGAGUACGAUAGAGGGAGGUAGAAUUCAUAGUGUAGCGGUGGAAUGCGUAGAUAUUAUGAAGAAUACCAGUGGCGAAGGCGGCCUCCUGGAUCUGUACUGACACUAAGGUGCGAAAGCGUGGGUAGCGAACAGGAUUAGAUACCCUGGUAGUCCACGCCGUAAACGAUGACAACUAGCUGUUGGGAGACAAUGUCUUUCAGUGGCGCAGCUAACGUUUUAAGUUGUCCGCCUGGGGAGUACGGCCGCAAGGCUAAAACUCAAAUGAAUUGACGGGGACCCGCACAAGCGGUGGAGCAUGUGGUUUAAUUCGAUGCAACGCGAAAAACCUUACCUACUCUUGACAUACUUGGAAGCUCUUGUAAUGAGAGUGUGCCUUUUGGAGCCAAGAUACAGGUGCUGCAUGGCUGUCGUCAGCUCGUGUCGUGAGAUGUUCCGUUAAGUCGGAUAACGAGCGCAACCCUUACCCUUAUUUGCCAGCGAUUCGGUCGGGAACUAUAAGGGGACUGCCGGUGAUAAACCGGAGGAAGGUGAGGACGACGUCAAGUCAUCAUGGCCCUUACGAGUAGGGCUACACACGUGCUACAAUGGGGAAUACAGACGGACGCUAAGCCGCGAGGUGGUGCUAAUCCUAUAAAGUUCUUCGUAGUCCGGAUUGGAGUCUGCAACUCGACUCCAUGAAGUCGGAAUCGCUAGUAAUCGCGAAUCAGCAUGUCGCGGUGAAUACGUUCUCGGGUCUUGUACACACCGCCCGUCACACCAUGGAAGUGGAUUGCACCAGAAGUAGAUAGUCUAACCUUCGGGAGGGCGUUUACCACGGUGUGCUUCAUGACUGGGGUGAAGUCGUAACAAGGUAACCGUA
RNAcentral lists this ribosomal RNA (884 nucleotides) under uncultured bacterium. RNAcentral describes it as "bacterial SSU rRNA". It matches the Rfam family "Bacterial small subunit ribosomal RNA", at positions 619 to 1504 of the family's 1533-position model. The record is from RNAcentral.